UGGGGAAACCCAGCAUGAGUUAUGUCAUGUUAUCGAUAUGUGAAUACAUAGCAUAUCAGAAGGCACACCCGGAGAACUGAAACAUCUUAGUACCCGGAGGAAGAGAAAGAAAAUUCGAUUCCCUUAGUAGCGGCGAGCGAAAUGGGAAGAGCCCAAACCAACAAGCUUGCUUGUUGGGGUUGUAGGACACUCUAUACGGAGUUACAAAGGACGACAUUAGACGAAUCAUCUGGAAAGAUGAAUCAAAGAAGGUAAUAAUCCUGUAGUCGAAAAUGUUGUCUCUCU
Molecule: ribosomal RNA, 285 nt
Filed under: Staphylococcus aureus
Lineage: Bacteria; Bacillati; Bacillota; Bacilli; Caryophanales; Staphylococcaceae
Description: partial 23S ribosomal RNA
Rfam family: Bacterial large subunit ribosomal RNA
Source: RNAcentral